This 270-nucleotide unclassified non-coding RNA is filed under the name Glomus sp. RNAcentral's name for it is "partial contains 5.8S ribosomal RNA and internal transcribed spacer 2". The stretch from base 1 to 65 matches the Rfam family "5.8S ribosomal RNA", at positions 84 to 154 of the family's 154-position model. Lineage: Eukaryota; Fungi; Glomeromycota; Glomeromycetes; Glomerales; Glomeraceae. The record is from RNAcentral.
GUGAAUCAUCGAAUUUUUGAACGCAAAUUGCACUCUCUUCGGAGAGUAUGCCUGUUUGAGUGUCAGCCUAAAAAAAAUCGACGUACUCGCUGUUUCGCUGUGACUUUCUUCGGAUAUUGGUCCAUCUUAAACAUUUGGGUUUUAAGCGGCUUAAAAUUUUCUUUACGAUUCCACGAACGUUUCUAAGAUUUACUUACACGUUUAAGGUAGCGAUCUUUAUUAUACGUGGCUGUUCUAUCGUAUCGCUGCCAUAAAUAUUGCGUUAACGCA